This 1558-nucleotide long non-coding RNA is filed under the name Nicotiana tabacum (common tobacco). RNAcentral describes it as "long non-coding RNA (NTAB_LNC004338)". The record is from RNAcentral. Lineage: Eukaryota; Viridiplantae; Streptophyta; Magnoliopsida; Solanales; Solanaceae.
CCAAUUCAAACUAUUCAUUUAUAAAGGACAGUUUAAGGCAUUGAUUGAUAAUAUUUCAUAACAUAAGACUAAUUAACCAGUGCAUAAUAAACACACAAGCUCGACAUCAGGGUGUCACAAGUCACAAGCAACUACAACUAUAUCUCAAUACAAUAAAGUCCGAAAAAGUAUGGAAGACAAUACUAAAUAAAUAUAGGGAAGAUAUGAGGGAGAAGAACAGUGCUGCGAACGUCAUGCAGCUACCUUGUCAACUCAGAGACCUGCUUAAUGAACGAUCAAUGCUCACUAUCAUGAACCGCAACUCCUGGAUCUGCACACAAGGUGCAGGAAGUAAUGUGAGUACGUCAACUCAGUAAGUAAUAAAAGUAAAUGAAAGUUGAGUAGUAAGAAAAUAGAUAAUUCCACGUCAUAAUGCCACAAAAAAUACAGUGCAUUUCCCAAAACAGUACAUAAAUCAUUUACCUCGUAAAACAAACUCAGUUUUAAUAAAGACUUUCCUUCUAAAACAACUUUCAAUAGUUUCAAAUGAGUGAUGAAAACAGUGAGUAAAAAUGAUAGAAACGUAAACAGCCCUUCGGGCAAAACAUAUACCAUAAUCCGCCCCUCGGGCAAAAUAUCAAUAGAACCAGCCCCUUAGGUUAACUCAUAAUCAGCCCCUCGGGCAACAAUACAAAUCAACAAUAGCCCCUCGGGCAACAUCACAUCACACACACUGGGUACCCAUGCUCACUGGGGGUGUUCAGACUCCGGAUGAGAUCUUACAGCCCAAGCGCUAUCACAAGCCAUCUCGUGGCAUAAUAAAUCAGGCCUUUGACCACUCAUAUAUCACAAAUCAAUACAACGUGUUGCGGCACGCAGCCCGAUCCCAUGAUAUCCUCACAACACAGGACCUCGGCCUCACUCAGCCAGAAAUCUCUUAAGCCGCUCGAGCAAUAGUAAAACAGGACUCAGCCCAAAAUAUCACUUAAAGUAUCAAAAUAGAGUAAAUAUGGCUGAGUAGUGAAAUUAGUAAAACAAAGCAUGACUAAGUACAAAUAUUAAUUUAAAAUAGUGAGGAAUAUUAGUAAAAAGCCCAUAAUGGUCCAAACAGUUGGCACGAGUCCCAAAUAUGGCAUUCAGCCCAAAACAUAGUAAUACUUUCCAAAACACAAUUGUAUCAAAUAGUUUUCAAUCAAAUACGAGAUUUAAUAGUGAUAUGGGACGGACCAAGUCAUAAUCACAAACGGUGCACGCCCCCACACUCAUCAUCUAGCAUGUGCAUCACCUCAAAGUAGCACCAAAAUGUGAAAUCCAGGGUUUCAUACCCUCAAGACAACAUUUACAAUCAUUACUUACCUAAAAUCGGACAAAACUCUAGCCCGCAAUGCCCUUGCCUCUCGAAUCGCCAUCCAAAUGCUUCAAAUCUAACCAAAAUUAGUAUUAUAUCAUUAAUACAUGCUAAAGGAACAAAGCCCAAGCACAAAUAAUCAAAUCAACUAAAAAAUCCCGAAAUUGGCCGAACCCGACCCCCUUGGCCCGUAAAGCCCCAGAAAAUUUUGCUAAGUAAUUUAAGAUUUCG